CUACGGGUUGCAGCAGUGAGGAAUUUUGCGCAAUGGGGGGAACCCUGACGCAGCAACGCCGCGUGAGUGAUGAAGGCUUUCGGGUCGUAAAGCUCUGUCAAGUGGGAAGAACCUAUGCAGUGUUAAUAUCACUGUAUACUGACGGUACCACUGAAGGAAGCACCGGCUAACUCCGUGCCAGCAGCCGCGGUAAUACGGGGGGUGCAAGCGUUAUUCGGAAUCAUUGGGCGUAAAGGGCACGUAGGCGGCUUGGUAAGUCAAAUGUGAAAGCCCGGGGCUUAACCCCGGAAGUGCAUUUGAUACUGUCAGGCUUGAGUAUGGGAGAGGGAAGUGGAAUUCCUGGUGUAGAGGUGAAAUUCGUAGAUAUCAGGAGGAACACCGGUGGCGAAGGCGACUUCCUGGACCAAUACUGACGCUGAGGUGCGAAGGCGUGGGUAGCAAACAGGAUUAGAUACCCCUGUAGUC
This 465-nucleotide ribosomal RNA is filed under the name uncultured bacterium. RNAcentral describes it as "partial 16S ribosomal RNA". It matches the Rfam family "Bacterial small subunit ribosomal RNA", at positions 339 to 795 of the family's 1533-position model. The record is from RNAcentral.